Molecule: ribosomal RNA, 250 nt
Filed under: uncultured prokaryote
Description: partial 16S ribosomal RNA
Rfam family: Bacterial small subunit ribosomal RNA
Source: RNAcentral
UACGUAGGUGGCGAGCGUUAUCCGGAUUUAUUGGGCGUAAAGAGUGCGCAGGCGGCAUGUUAAGUAUAGAAUAAAAGCCCGAAGCUUAACUUCGGUUCGUUCUAUAAACUGGCAAGCUUGAGUGUGGUAGAGGCAAACGGAAUUUCUAGUGUAGCGGUGGAAUGCGUAGAUAUUAGAAGGAACACCAGUGGCGAAGGCGGUUUGCUGGGCCAUAACUGACGCUCAUGCACGAAAGCGUGGGGAGCAAAUA